UAGAGACCAACUAAGUUUGUUCUGGGUAUAAGCUUUCGUGUGCAUGCACACUUCUUCAGAUACCUGAAGAAUGCACACAAAAGCUUAUACCCAGAACAAAAUUAGUUGGUCUCUA
This is a non-coding RNA of Podarcis lilfordi (Lilford's wall lizard), 115 nucleotides long. The record is from the annotation of a GenBank genome assembly. Lineage: Eukaryota; Metazoa; Chordata; Lepidosauria; Squamata; Lacertidae.